CGCGUAGGCGGUUUCGGAAGUUAUGGGUGAAAGCCCCCGGCUCAACUGGGGAAUUGCCUGUAAAACCACGGAUCUGGAGUGCUGGAGAGGGAAGUGGAAUUCCCAGUGUAGCGGUGAAAUGCGUAGAUGUUGGGAGGAACACCAGUGGCGAAGGCGGCUUCCUGGACAGACACUGACGCUGAGGCGCGAAAGCCAGGGGAGCGAACG
RNAcentral lists this ribosomal RNA (207 nucleotides) under uncultured bacterium. RNAcentral's name for it is "partial 16S ribosomal RNA". It matches the Rfam family "Bacterial small subunit ribosomal RNA", at positions 568 to 774 of the family's 1533-position model. The record is from RNAcentral.